This 433-nucleotide ribosomal RNA is filed under the name uncultured bacterium. Its description in RNAcentral is "partial 16S ribosomal RNA". It matches the Rfam family "Bacterial small subunit ribosomal RNA", at positions 29 to 507 of the family's 1533-position model. The record is from RNAcentral.
AACGAACGCUGGCGGCAUGCCUAACACAUGCAAGUCGAACGAGACCUUCGGGUCUAGUGGCGCACGGGUGCGUAACGCGUGGGAACCUGCCUUUAGGUUCGGAAUAACUCAGAGAAAUUUGAGCUAAUACCGGAUGAUGUCUUCGGACCAAAGAUUUAUCGCCUUUAGAUGGGCCCGCGUUGGAUUAGCUAGUUGGUGGGGUAAAGGCCUACCAAGGCGACGAUCCAUAGCUGGUCUGAGAGGAUGAUCGGCCACACUGGGACUGAGACACGGCCCAGACUCCUACGGGAGGCAGCAGUGGGGAAUAUUGGACAAUGGGCGAAAGCCUGAUCCAGCAAUGCCGCGUGAGUGAUGAAGGCCUUAGGGUUGUAAAGCUCUUUUACCCGAGAUGAUAAUGACAGUAGCGGGAGAAUAAGCUCCGGCUAACUCCGUG